ACUCCUACGGGAGGCAGCAGUGAGGAAUCUUGCGCAAUGGGGGAAACCCUGACGCAGCAACGCCGCGUGAGCGAAGGAAGGCCUUCGGGUGUAAAGCUCUGUCUAGUGGGAAAAAAGUCCUGGUGUAAAUAGCUCCAGGAUCUGAUGGUACCGCUGGAGGAAGCACCGGCUAACUCCGUGCCAGCAGCCGCGGUAAUACGGAGGGUGCAAGCGUUGUUCGGAAUUAUUGGGCGUAAAGGGCGUGUAGGCGGUUUGGUAAGUCAGAUGUGAAAGCCCUGGGCUUAACCCAGGAAGUGCAUUUGAAACUACCAGACUUGAGUAUGGGAGAGGAGAGUGGAAUUCCCAGUGUAGAGGUGAAAUUCGUAGAUAUUGGGAGGAACAUCCGUGGCGAAGGCGACUCUCUGGACCAAUACUGACGCUGAGACGCGAAAGCGUGGGGAGCAAACAGGAUUAGAUACCCUGGUAGUCCACGCCGUAAACGAUGAGAACUAGGUGUAGCGGGUAUUGACCCCUGCUGUGCCGCAGCUAACGCAUUAAGUUCUCCGCCUGGG
This 551-nucleotide ribosomal RNA is filed under the name uncultured bacterium. Its description in RNAcentral is "bacterial SSU rRNA". It matches the Rfam family "Bacterial small subunit ribosomal RNA", at positions 335 to 877 of the family's 1533-position model. The record is from RNAcentral.